GUGCUCGCUUCCGCAGCACAUAUAAAAAAAUUGGAAUGAUACAGAGAAAAUUAACAUGGCCCCU
Molecule: small nuclear RNA, 64 nt
Filed under: Salvator merianae (Argentine black and white tegu)
Lineage: Eukaryota; Metazoa; Chordata; Lepidosauria; Squamata; Teiidae
Source: RNAcentral